AUCGGAUUUGUUGAUGGCUCAUGUCCUCGACCAACCACUAAUGUGGCUGAACAGAGGCUGUGGGAUAGAUGUAAUAACAUGGUCAUUUCCUGGUUGACCGCUUCCCUAUCUCCUCAGAUUGCUGAUAAGCAGUAUUCUGAUAUUGCACAGAGUAUAUGGUCCAAAAUUGAGAAAAGAUAUGGUACUACUAACAAGACUAAAAUUUUGAAUUAAAAAGGGAACUCUCUCACACAUCUCAAGGCUGUUUAGAUGUAGCCUCAUUCUUUAAUAAACUCAAAGGCCUGUGGGAUGAGUUGGGCACAAUGUGCACAAAUCAUGGGCAGAGAUGUGUGUGUGCUGCUAAAAAUAGAGUAAUUCAGGAAGAUGAUGAAAACAAGGUAUUCCAGUUUCUUAUGGGGUUAAAUGAAGCAUACAUGGGGGUUAGGAGUAACUUGUUUAUGAUGCAGCCAUUUCCUUCCCUUGACAGUGUUUACAAUAUAGUUCUUAAUGAUGAGAAACAGAGACAAGUUCAAUAUAUUUCUCAAAUCAGUCCAGAUUCUAUGUCUUUUAAUACUAAUACAAAUAAGCACUCAGUUGGGUUUAAUCAGGCCACAGUGCCCAGUCCCCCUGUUUUCAGACCCAGAGUUAAUUUUGAGCAAAGUAGAGGGCCUUUAUUUUGCAGAUACUGCAAGAAAUUUGGGCACUUAAUUGAUAAGUGAUAUAAGAUUCAUGGGUUUCCUCAAAAUUUCAAAUACAACAAGGGAAGGAAAUCUGCUGCUUCUCAUGUCUCCACUCGUGAGGACAGUGUGUCUGUUAAUCAUGGGAAUCCUAAUAUGUCUGUUCAUUUUGGGGAUCCUCCUGGCAGCCAUCACCCUGUUACAAACAUAGAUGGCCAGAGUUCUGUGAUACCAGGGUUGAGCAGACAUCAUUAUUAUCAAUUGAUGAGCUUGCUGCAACAGACCCAGUUAGGGGAUUCCAGUGCUCAAACUCCUCCUCCCGUGUGUGCUGCUAAUUUUGCUGGUACUAUGUUGACUGAGAGUCCUGAGUCCUGUUUCUGAUUCCAAGUUAUGCAUGCUUACACACAUUAAUUCUGUCACCUGGAUCAUAGAUUCAGGGGCAUCAAAUCACAUGACACAUGAUAAAAACUUGCUUUUUAACAUCAUACCUUUGACUGUUCCUUAUCUUGUAACUUUUCCCAAUGGCUACAAAGUGGAAGUAACUUGUACAGGUUCUUUUGCAUUAACUUCAUCCCUUACUCUUCACAAUGUGCUUCUGGUUCCUUCCAUUAAACACAACUUGAUUUCUAUCCACAAGUUGGUAAAAUAAUUGCAAUGUAUAGUUUUGUUUACUCCAACUUCCUGUUUACUUCACAUGAUACAGGACCCUUCUCUGAAGAGGCUUCUGGAUCUUGGUAAAGAGAAAGUUGGCCUAUACAAACUGUCUUGGGUGCCACCUUCCCCUUCUUGCUCUACUGGUUCUCCAUCUACUUCUGUAUGUGCUUUGUCUGAUUUUUGUAAUGAUGACAAUGUGUCUGACAACAAAAAUGUUGCUUUGCCUCCAAUUGUAAUAAUGCUGUUACCACUGAUAUGAAUUACAUUUGGCAUUUAAGACUAGCACAUACUUCAUUUGCAGAUAUGAGACAUAUUUCUGGUUUGUCUUUUCCACUUGCUUCUAAACAACCUUUUCCUUGUUCUGUCAGUCAAAUUGUAAAUAAUCCCAUUUGUAAUAAUGUUUUUACUACUGAUAUGAAUUACAUUUGGCAUUUAAGACUAGCACAUACUUCAUUUCCAAGUAUGAGACAUAUUUCUGGUUUGUCUUUUCCACUGCUUCUAAACAACCUUUUCCUUGUUCUGUCUGUCCUACGGCCAAACAAACCAGACUUCCUUUUCCUGAUAGCAAUAUCAGUACUACUAGACCUUUUCAAUUGAUACAUGUGGAUACUUGGGGACCUUACCACACCUCUACUUCUUCUGGUUAUAGAUACUUCCUUACAAUAGUUGAUGAUUUCUCUAGGGAAACAUGGACAAACUUAAUGGGCUCUAAAAGCAAUGCCUUUUCCCUGCUUAAGUCUUUCAUCUGUUUUGUUAAAACUCAGUUUAAC
Molecule: long non-coding RNA, 2080 nt
Filed under: Nicotiana benthamiana
Lineage: Eukaryota; Viridiplantae; Streptophyta; Magnoliopsida; Solanales; Solanaceae
Description: long non-coding RNA (NBEN_LNC015510)
Source: RNAcentral